RNAcentral lists this long non-coding RNA (815 nucleotides) under Coturnix japonica (Japanese quail). RNAcentral describes it as "lncRNA (ENSCJPG00005019445.1)". Lineage: Eukaryota; Metazoa; Chordata; Aves; Galliformes; Phasianidae. The record is from RNAcentral.
AUUUUAAUUCAGCGUAGUCACGACUGCCAUCUGCUUUUUAUUUUUUUAUCAAGAUUUUUAAAUAGACCUCAUACAGUCUCAAUAUUUAAUAUUUCAGAUUUCUGAAAAGGAAAGAGAUUUUCUUUCUCAAAGGGAAAAAAUAAAUACUCCCUACUGACCCCAUAAUAAUUUGGAAGGUGCUUUAAUGUCCCUUAAAGAGUAAAUAAGUGCUUUUCAUCUCACUUUUGACAGAUCUCCAAUCUGCAACGUUAAGAUGCCCACAAUGUCUAUCUUAGCAGUAAGCUGAUAUCAAGAUUGCAUGAACCCUUAGGAUGGAAGCUUUUCAGAUCAGUUUGAGUCAACUCUUCCUCUCAGGAAGAAGGUUGUGUGAAUGCGGGAGAUGCCCUAUUGCAUAACAAGAUGUAUCCAGGAAGAGAUGAGCAGUUGUUCCUCCUUCAUAUCAUCUAAAUCCAUGACCUUUCCUGCCCUCGGUUCCUCCACUAAUCAUCCCACAGAAGGUGUUGUUCAAGUGUUGUGCAAUUCCAACAUGCUCUUCAGCUGCAUACUGUACUGCAUGCCCUUAUGCAGUGAUCAGCUUCAGUCUCCCAAGUGUUAUGGCAAUGGAUAUUUUUGAUGGCUGAUAGAAUGGGAAGACUGAUAUAUACCUCAAGGAGAUUUGAUGUUGGGUGAGAACAGUGAAUAAUUUGAAUUCUACAAUUUUAAUUGCUGUAUAAUACUGUAUAUAAUCUCUAGUAUGAUUUCUUUAUGUAUGAUCAAUUCUAUUAUACUAAGAGUCACUCAGAUUAAUGAGGAAUAAAUUUUUACUAAAUUAGGCA